CAUUCACGGAGAGUUUGAUCCUGGCUCAGGACGAACGCUGGCGGCGUGCUUAACACAUGCAAGUCGAACGAUGAAGCCCUUCGGGGUGGAUUAGUGGCGAACGGGUGAGUAACACGUGGGCAAUCUGCCCUUCACUCUGGGACAAGCCCUGGAAACGGGGUCUAAUACCGGAUAACACUUUCCUCCUCCUGGGGGAAGGUUGAAAGCUCCGGCGGUGAAGGAUGAGCCCGCGGCCUAUCAGCUAGUUGGUGGGGUAAUGGCCUACCAAGGCGACGACGGGUAGCCGGCCUGAGAGGGCGACCGGCCACACUGGGACUGAGACACGGCCCAGACUCCUACGGGAGGCAGCAGUGGGGAAUAUUGCACAAUGGGCGAAAGCCUGAUGCAGCGACGCCGCGUGAGGGAUGACGGCCUUCGGGUUGUAAACCUCUUUCAGCAGGGAAGAAGCGAAAGUGACGGUACCUGCAGAAGAAGCGCCGGCUAACUACGUGCCAGCAGCCGCGGUAAUACGUAGGGCGCAAGCG
RNAcentral lists this ribosomal RNA (524 nucleotides) under Streptomyces sp. SID9124. RNAcentral describes it as "bacterial SSU rRNA". It matches the Rfam family "Bacterial small subunit ribosomal RNA", at positions 1 to 540 of the family's 1533-position model. Lineage: Bacteria; Bacillati; Actinomycetota; Actinomycetes; Kitasatosporales; Streptomycetaceae. The record is from RNAcentral.